UAUCGUGUUAUUGAUAAUCUAUCAAAAUACAUGUCUGUAAGACCAUUCGCAAUAACAAUUACAAAGAUGUUGGAGUCCAUAACACAUAUCGUUAGACAAUUUAUAAUGCGACAUAUAAUAAAUGCUUUGCAAUUAAUCGAAGUUAAAUGCAUUAUCCAAAAACCUUCGAUAUGAUUAAAAUGUAUUGCAAUCAUAUUAUGAUGAUAGGUAUUAUGAGUGCAAGUUAUAUACAUAUAAUGCAAAAUAUUUUAAAAAUUCGUGCAAGAUUCAAGCAAGACUAUAAAAUUUGACUAAUUCCAAAAAGUUAUAUCUUCCUUUUAUGUAGAAAAUUUCUUCAAUGGAUGAGGCAUUAUUUUAAGAAAUAUAACGAACAACGUUAACUAUAUAUUAAAAUAUA
This is a non-coding RNA of Nylanderia fulva, 397 nucleotides long. The record is from RefSeq and is a predicted model, not a curated record. NCBI's taxonomy places the organism in Eukaryota, Metazoa, Arthropoda, Insecta, Hymenoptera, Formicidae.